Molecule: non-coding RNA, 1101 nt
Organism: Equus caballus (horse)
Lineage: Eukaryota; Metazoa; Chordata; Mammalia; Perissodactyla; Equidae
Source: RefSeq, a predicted model, not a curated record
ACUUAUGCAGUUGUAUUUUCUUUCUAACAGCUUGGUGGCAGCAGCGGGAUUGGAAGGAGACUUCUCAUGGCUUCGGGGAUGAGAAACACAAGCAUUGGUACCCAUGAAGCCUUUGGAUUCUCCGUCUUUUUUGCUGUCUCUGAGGGCUGUGGGCCGAUGUCGAUGAGUUCUGAGGAAAUGCUGAAGGCACAGUGUGGAGGAAUUCUGGGACCCUGCGUGACUACUUGGAAGAGUGCUGUCCCCUCCACCUGAACAACCACCCGGCACUACCAGAAAUGAGAGGCGUCCUGUGAUCGUGGAUUGGAAGCCUCCUUGUUGUUAAGAUGUCAGCUUCCUCCAAAGACAUGAGCCAAUUAAAUGCAGUCCUUAUCAAAAUCCCAAUGACAUUUUGUGCUGAAAGACACCCAUCCUAAAAUUCAUAUGGAAUCUCAAGUAUGCCCAGAUGUCUAAAAUAGUCUUGAAAGGAAGUACUAAGUUGGAGGACUCUCUUUUUACUGAUGUAAAACUUGCUACAAACCUACAAUAUCAAAACAGCUUUGUAAUGGCAUAAAGACAGACACAUAGAGCAUCGGAACUGAAUAGAGAGCCCAGAAAUAAGGUGGCCAAGGUUGUUCAACGGGGAAAAGACAGUCUUUUCAACCAGUGGUUCCUGAAAAAGUGGAUAUCUUCAUGCAAAAAAAUAAACUUGGAUUCUGACCUCACACCACAUAUAAAACUUAAUUCUCAAUGGAUCAAGACCCAAAUGUAAGAACUGAAACUCUUUUAGGAAAACAUGGGACAAAACGUUUCACAAUAGGACUUGGCAAUGAUUUCAUAGAUAUAACACUCAAGGCAUGGGCAAUAAAAAACAGAGUACACACACCAAAAUUCAUGAAUAUUAAAAACCUUUCUGCCUCUGAAGACAAUAUCAACAGAGUGAAAACACAACCCAUGCAGCCUGGGAGACCAUAUUUGCAAAUGAUCUAUCAGACAAGGGCUGAAUAUCCAGAAUAGACAUAGAACUUCUCAACUCAGCAACAACAAAACAAACGACCCAAAUCAAAAAUGAGCAAAGUACUUGAAUAGACUUUUCCUCCAAGAAGAUACGCAAAUGGUCAACAA